This 253-nucleotide ribosomal RNA is filed under the name uncultured bacterium. Its description in RNAcentral is "partial 16S ribosomal RNA". It matches the Rfam family "Bacterial small subunit ribosomal RNA", at positions 524 to 776 of the family's 1533-position model. The record is from RNAcentral.
UACGUAGGCAGCGAGCGUUGUUCGGAGUUACUGGGCGUAAAGGGUGUGUAGGCGGUUCGGUAAGUCUGGUGUGAAAUCUCCCGGCUCAACUGGGAGGGUGCGCCGGAAACUGCCAAACUAGAGUGCGGGAGAGGAAAGUGGAAUUCCUGGUGUAGCGGUGAAAUGCGUAGAGAUCGGAAAGAACACCAACGGCGAAAGCACUCUGCUGGGCCGACACUGACACUGAGAGACGAAAGCUAGGGGAGCGAAUGGG